CAGUGCCCGUUUCCACUCUCAGGCUCUUAAUGGAAAAUUCAAAUAGCACCAAACCUGGGGCACUGGGGAACCCUGUUGCACCGGUGCCGACUUCAGCAGCAAACAUCACCUUUUACUUCUAUUUGCUCUUUUCAGGAGCAGCAGAAGCCCAAGGAGGAGUGGGGGUUGGAUUUGACUUUCCAAGGUAGUGCUCAUACUCCAGGGGAUCCGAGAAAUCUGGAGUGCCCAGCUUGGACUCUCCACCCUGAACACAACCUUUCCAAACUGGAGUUUUAGGAAAGAAACGGAGCUCCCCCUGCAAAAAAGCAUUUCCAGGAAUGCAGUCAGAAAGCACAACCCAGCAGCAUCAGCCUCUCCUGCUGCUGUUCCAACAGUUCCAGUUGGACCUGGCUGUCUUCCUGUCCAUGCUCCGAGUAAAUUGCUCAGAAACCAGCCAGAAAUAAAUGGGGAGG
This is a long non-coding RNA of Vidua macroura (Pin-tailed whydah), 452 nucleotides long. RefSeq lists it as uncharacterized. NCBI's taxonomy places the organism in Eukaryota, Metazoa, Chordata, Aves, Passeriformes, Viduidae. The transcript has 4 exons. The record is from RefSeq and is a predicted model, not a curated record.